RNAcentral lists this ribosomal RNA (497 nucleotides) under uncultured bacterium. RNAcentral describes it as "partial 16S ribosomal RNA". It matches the Rfam family "Bacterial small subunit ribosomal RNA", at positions 28 to 507 of the family's 1533-position model. The record is from RNAcentral.
GAUGAACGCUGGCGGCGUGCCUAAUACAUGCAAGUCGAGCGAACAGACGAGGAGCUUGCUCCUCUGACGUUAGCGGCGGACGGGUGAGUAACACGUGGAUAACCUACCUAUAAGACUGGGAUAACUUCGGGAAACCGGAGCUAAUACCGGAUAAUAUAUUGAACCGCAUGGUUCAAUAGUGAAAGACGGUUUUGCUGUCACUUAUAGAUGGAUCCGCGCCGCAUUAGCUAGUUGGUAAGGUAACGGCUUACCAAGGCAACGAUGCGUAGCUGACCUGAGAGGGUGAUCGGCCACACUGGAACUGAGACACGGUCCAGACUCCUACGGGAGGCAGCAGUAGGGAAUCUUCCGCAAUGGGCGAAAGCCUGACGGAGCAACGCCGCGUGAGUGACGAAGGUCUUCGGAUCGUAAAACUCUGUUAUUAGGGAAGAACAAAUGUGUAAGUAACUAUGCACGUCUUGACGGUACCUAAUCAGAAAGCCACGGCUAACUACGUG